RNAcentral lists this small RNA (463 nucleotides) under Arabidopsis thaliana (thale cress). RNAcentral's name for it is "ATSL101850". The record is from RNAcentral. Lineage: Eukaryota; Viridiplantae; Streptophyta; Magnoliopsida; Brassicales; Brassicaceae.
AUAAAAAAUCUUAUUGUAAUCAAAAUCUACUUCUAUUUCCAUAUAGUCUAAGAUAUCAUCCAAAAGUUUGUACCGAAUCGAACCGCUUCAUAUAACUUAUUAUGUAAACAAUAUUUUUCCUCAAGAAUAGCUCUUUUUCUUCAUUUUUUUGAAUACUAGAAGGUUCUGAACCGAAGUCUGUAAUCUCUCGAGAGCCGAAACUACAGAAUGUAAUAUUAGUUUUGUCCUCCUCAGAAAUGGUUAUUUUGAGCUCUAACUAAAAGGUGUCGAUAACAAAAAUAUAAGAUGUCAUCCAAAAUUGGCUCCAAAAAUCUGUAAUAUUCGAAAAAAAUUCGAUAGUCUUUGUAAUUUUAGUAAAAUAAUAUAUCAGUUUUUAAACAAUAUUAUACAAAAUUGAAAUUUAUCAAGAUUGGUAAGUAACGUUUUUAAAUUUCAUUUAUUUUAAAUAGAUCCAUGUUUAAAU